AUGUCUCUUCCAUUUCUUUCCACUCACAGUCCAUUUGCCAGAAUUAAUCACAUGGUCCUGCCUAACUGCAAGAAGGGCAGGGUACGCAGGAAGAAGAAAGGAACCAGAUUUGAUCUCAUGUGUUUUGGAUGAAGUUACUUCUAAGUAAGUUAAAUCUUUUCUAUUGUUGUUACAGUAAAAGUUAGCUUUAUUUCUUUAUUUUUUCAUUUCAUAUUCAAAUUAACUAUAGCUGGUGGAUUGAAAAAGUAUUUAAAACAUAUUUGGUAUAUGUGUGUGUGUGUGUGUGUGUGUAUAUAUAUAUAUAUAUCAAAACAAGUGAUAUAAGCAGUAAAUUUUAUUCAGAGGAAGAAGUCAGUACAGGCUCCCAUAGUUGACUAAAGGUAUAAGAAAGAUAAAGUACUUAAAAAUGGACAGAAAAGAUAGGGCUAUUUGUGAAAAUUCAGGGCAAACAAAUGUAGAAAUGAGCAAGGUGUAUUCAGGCUCAGUGAACAAAACACCUAACUUUGUUAAUUCUUGGAGGUAGUUAAGGUUAGAAAGUGGUAAGAUUGUGGCAAACCUUGGAUGCUAGAUAAGGGCAAUAAUUCAAACAACAUUAUAGUCACA
Molecule: long non-coding RNA, 603 nt
Filed under: Macaca mulatta (Rhesus monkey)
Lineage: Eukaryota; Metazoa; Chordata; Mammalia; Primates; Cercopithecidae
Description: lncRNA (ENSMMUG00000054103.1)
Source: RNAcentral